CCUACGGGGGGCUGCAGUGGGGAAUAUUGCACAAUGGGCGCAAGCCUGAUGCAGCCAUGCCGCGUGUGUGAAGAAGGCCUUCGGGUUGUAAAGCACUUUCAGCGGGGAGGAAGGCGUUAAGGUUAAUAACCUUGGCGAUUGACGUUACCCGCAGAAGAAGCACCGGCUAACUCCGUGCCAGCAGCCGCGGUAAUACGGAGGGUGCAAGCGUUAAUCGGAAUUACUGGGCGUAAAGCGCACGCAGGCGGUCUGUCAAGUCGGAUGUGAAAUCCCCGGGCUCAACCUGGGAACUGCAUUCGAAACUGGCAGGCUAGAGUCUUGUAGAGGGGGGUAGAAUUCCAGGUGUAGCGGUGAAAUGCGUAGAGAUCUGGAGGAAUACCGGUGGCGAAGGCGGCCCCCUGGACAAAAACUGACGCUCAGGUGCGAAAGCGUGGGGAGCAAACAGGAUUAGAUACCCUAGUAGUC
Molecule: ribosomal RNA, 465 nt
Filed under: uncultured Klebsiella sp.
Lineage: Bacteria; Pseudomonadati; Pseudomonadota; Gammaproteobacteria; Enterobacterales; Enterobacteriaceae
Description: bacterial SSU rRNA
Rfam family: Bacterial small subunit ribosomal RNA
Source: RNAcentral